GGGGCUGGGCUUCCUGUGGGGCUUGGCUCUUGGAGGCAGCGAGUUUGGCGGCUGCCGUGUUCUUCCCCGCCAGCCCCGGUGCCCCGCCAGCUCCCGGUGCCCCGCCAGCUCCAGGAAAAUGGAUAAACAAAUGAACAAAAAGGCAUAUUUCUACAAUGAAAUGCUACACAAUUGAGAAAAAAUUACAUGCAACAUUGAUGAAUAUGUAAAACAUGAUCGUGUGGUGGAGGAGGCAGGGAACAUGGACACAGAAACCUCGCUGUCUUGGCUCAGAGAAGGUGACGGGCCAAUGGAGGGGGUGUUCGGGGGUCCAUUUUGCUUUGGGAAGAUU
Long non-coding RNA from Eptesicus fuscus (big brown bat), 331 nucleotides. RefSeq lists it as uncharacterized. The record is from RefSeq and is a predicted model, not a curated record. The transcript is spliced from 3 exons. Lineage: Eukaryota; Metazoa; Chordata; Mammalia; Chiroptera; Vespertilionidae.